UCUAGAUACUCCGGUAUCCUUCCAAGUCCAAAGGCAUACACUGUAGGCUGAUUGGCAUCUCCAUCCAAGUUCCCCUCUGAUUGGCAUUUCCAAAUUGUCUGUAGUGUGUGAAUGUGUGUGCGUUUGUGCCCUGAGAUGGGUUGGCAGCCUGUCCGAGGUCCCCCCUGCCUUGUGCCCCGAGUUUCCUGGGAUAAGCUCCAGGCUCCCCUACAAACCUGCGUAGGAUAAGCGGUACAGAAAAUGGAAGGCUGGAUGGAUGGAAAUUUUGUCAGAGUAGUUUCUGCUGCUCUGAAUGCCAAACACUACACAGCAUCAGGUGGUUCAGAUGGACCACAAACUGGAGAGUGUCCUGAAGAUCCUGAUGGAACAGUUCCAACUCGAACCAGAGCUGCUUCAGAAACCAAGCCACUGCAGCUCCCGCUUAAUGAAACGCCAGAGUGGCAGCAUGAAGAAAGGACAAUGAGAGCAACAGAAAGCAGGGUUCAUAGAGAGAAGAGAGCUCGAAGAAGGCGAAAGUUAGUACAGAGGGAGAAUUCCAGGCCAGGGCUGGAAGGACUUCAGUGGCGAGUGUUGGUUUGGCCAGGCCAGGCAGUAUGUGAGGCAUGAGGAGAGACAGCUGCAGUACUGCCUCACCGGUGGGCGCUACACCACGCCACGUCAGUGGGGCACACGCACACACACACGCUUACUCCAACUUCUGUAUCCCAAACUCCACUAACUGUCCAGACAUCCACUGGUUUUAAGGUCUGUGAUUUUUUCAUGAUCAAAAAAUACAAUCAAAUUUUCAGUCUUAUCUUUCUACAACAAUAUGUAAGUGACUGUAGCUCAAACUGAAAAUACCUGUAAACGAUGUCCCUCGUGACAUUUUCAUUAAAACCUUUAUCUUGUAAUAAAACUGUUUACUUCACCUGACUUGACCUUCCAUACAGUACUAAUCUGGUCUGCAGGAGCUGAAUAGAUUAGAGCAUGCAGGAUAAUGUGAAGUGAGGCUGCUGUAGAUGUUUUGCCCUGCAUGCUUCAGCAGAGCUGCUCCACUACCUGAUAAAGAGCUUUUGACUGGCUGCAGGUGGGCCCACCUAAUGAGCGCUACUGGACCAAAGCAAACACGCAGUUCAGGCCACAUCACGAAUGAUGAAUGAGAAGAGAAAAAAAAAAGCUAGUGCAAAUCCAUGAUAAGCAAACAAAGGAUAUUUCUGUACUGCAUGCUAUUUAAGAGCAAUAAGUCUGGAUGUUAAAGUGAAAAGCAACAGAUUUACUGAUUAUAAUACAGUAGGUGUUGUACAAAAGCAAAAAAAUUCUCCUUUGGAAAUCUGUUUUAAAUCUCUGUUUAGUCAAUAAAAAACAAAAAGAACAACAACAAAAAAAACCCGUACUGCUGUUUUUGAAGCACAUGAGCAAAACUGCCUGCCAGAGGAUGGAAUGAGUAAAUGCAACUCAGCACAGAGGAGAAAAUGGAAUAAAAUUAAGAGGCAAAAAGACAAAAUGACUACCAUGAUUUCGUUUAUUGUUAAAGCUGCCUGCAAAUAAUCUUAAUGAUAAAAUCUGUCACCAUGACAAGGCUGUAGUUUUAUCUUAAGAGGUUAGUCAUAAUUCCUUUCAUUUAUUGAGAAUUUGCCACGGACGUUCACUGUGGUUAUUAGAGGAAAUGAAGGGAGGAACUCUGAGCUUUCAAUGAACAGCUUACACUGCCAUUUACUGGAAAUGAUGCAGGUCUGUGACCAGUGAUAUAGUACAAAAGGAAAUGUGAAAUUGCUUCUUUAGGUAAACACACUGCUAGGCGAUAAGACCACCAAUAGGUUUUGUGUUAUGUUUAUCUGAGGCCCACCUUGAAAUUUUCUUCUUUAUAUUAUUUCACAUGACUAUUUUCCCUCACUCAUUCCUUGACACUUUUAUUUUCUUUAACAAUAAAUGAGAACAAAGCAUAAAUUGCUGGCUGUAAUAAUGGUUAUAAGACAUUAUAAUGGUGUACCUCAGACACUGAAAUUUAGGAUAAGACAAGGUUUAUCAAGG
Molecule: long non-coding RNA, 2010 nt
Organism: Ictalurus punctatus (channel catfish)
Lineage: Eukaryota; Metazoa; Chordata; Actinopteri; Siluriformes; Ictaluridae
Source: Ensembl